RNAcentral lists this ribosomal RNA (462 nucleotides) under uncultured bacterium. RNAcentral's name for it is "partial 16S ribosomal RNA". It matches the Rfam family "Bacterial small subunit ribosomal RNA", at positions 29 to 507 of the family's 1533-position model. The record is from RNAcentral.
AGUGAACGCUGGCGGCGUGCCUAAUACAUGCAAGUCGAACGGAGAUUAAGUAGCUUGCUAUUUAAUCUUAGUGGCGCACGGGUGAGUAAUAUAUAGCUAACUUGCCCAUUACUAAGGGACAACAGUUGGAAACGACUGCUAAUACCUUAUACUCCGUAUCUAUAUAAGUAGAUACGGGAAAGUUUUUCGGUAAUGGAUAGGGCUAUAUCGUAUCAGCUAGUUGGUAAGGUAAUGGCUUACCAAGGCUAUGAUGCGUAACUGGUCUGAGAGGAUGAUCAGUCACACUGGAACUGAGACACGGUCCAGACUCCUACGGGAGGCAGCAGUAGGGAAUAUUGCUCAAUGGGGGAAACCCUGAAGCAGCAACGCCGCGUGGAGGAUGACACUUUUCGGAGCGUAAACUCCUUUUCUUGGGAAAGAAUUAUGACGGUACCCAAGGAAUAAGCACCGGCUAACUCCGUG